Molecule: transfer RNA, 74 nt
Rfam family: tRNA
About the family: Transfer RNA (tRNA) molecules are approximately 80 nucleotides in length. Their secondary structure includes four short double-helical elements and three loops (D, anti-codon, and T loops).
Source: Rfam
GGAUCGAUAGCUCAGUCAGGGAGAGCACCGGCCUGAAGCGCUGGCGUGCCUCGGUUCGAAUCCGAGUCGAUCCA